AACGCACCUUGCGCUCCUUGGUAUUCCGAGGAGCAUGCCUGUUUGAGUGUCAUUAAAUUCUCAACCUUACCAGCUUUUGCUGAUAAUGGCUUGGAUGUGGGGGUUUUUGCUGGCUUCGUCAAGAAAUCUGCUCCCCUAAAAUGCAUUAGCCGGUGCCCCGCGUGGACUGUCUAUUGGUGUGAUAAUUAUCUACGCCGUGGAUGUCUACUUUAAAUGGGUUGUGCUGCUUCUAACCGUCCGUUCAUUUGGACAAUCAAUGACAAUUUGACCUCAAAUCAGGUAGGACUACCCGCUGAACUUAA
This 302-nucleotide unclassified non-coding RNA is filed under the name uncultured fungus. RNAcentral's name for it is "sequence contains ITS2". The stretch from base 1 to 52 matches the Rfam family "5.8S ribosomal RNA", at positions 103 to 154 of the family's 154-position model. The record is from RNAcentral. Lineage: Eukaryota; Fungi.